Molecule: long non-coding RNA, 1410 nt
Organism: Orbicella faveolata
Lineage: Eukaryota; Metazoa; Cnidaria; Anthozoa; Scleractinia; Merulinidae
Source: RefSeq, a predicted model, not a curated record
UUUUGCUCUCUUGAAAGGGACAACAUAUCAGUUUACAUAAGUUACCACAAGCUAAUUGCAGUUAAUUUGAUAUGUGCUUAUCAGUGGACCCAGGCUGUGAGGUUGAUUGCUUCCUUAGGUAGCCCUGUUUGUCGGAAGAAGUAGAUAAGACCAAUAAAGGAACCGCAGACCUUAUUAGAUCGUUCUCAUUGUGUAUUUUAUAUUCGAAUACCGUUUUUGAGAACACAGUGCCACAACUUUGAGGGCUUGUACAAUCGUCAAUUUUACCGUAAACAUCUUAACUUUGGAAUCACGUAUUUCAAACGGUAUAUAUCAUAAAUAUCGGAAAACAAUUUUACUUCAUAGGCACUAAUAUUAUUCACAGCAAGAAACGCGAGGAUAACAGCCGCACCACACCGGGAUUGUGGGAGAUUCUAAUCGAUUUUAAGAUUACUUGUUAGCCUGCAAAUUUGACGUUGGUUUUGCUCCCCGCGCGUACCUUGUUUGUGUACUUUUCAAUUGAGGUUGCGGACGUCCAUACGGAACUUGUCCUAAGAAAUUAAAGCCUAUUGUUUUAAUUUCAUUUUUUAUAUUCGCUAUUUAUUUCCCCCUUUUUUUUUCUGUAUUUCCAGAAUGCAUUACGGCUGCCAUGAAAACCAAAGUGACAAACGCGCCGCAACAUUAUGCCUUAUUUUAUUUUAUUAUUAAUUUUUUUUUGUUUGAUUGCGGACUUCGUUGACGUAUCGCACCUGUUGCGAAGGCCACGUGUCCGGCUAUAUCUAUAUUUACCUUGACCACAAAUUGAGUGGGAGAUAGAACUAUAAAAGGAGAAAAGAAGAGUGUUGUUCUUCAGCUGCUCGCCAAAGGAGUUGGUCGUUUGCUCUUGAACCUUGACAAUUGACCUCAGCCAUGUUUAAAUUGUGUUUUUUCCUAGCUGUUCUUUUCGUACCAAUUCUGUUGUCAUACCAUGCCACAGCCCUCGUCGAGAGCCGAGACAAAUCUGCAGACAUCUCCUUUGGGGAUUGUAUGGAUCUCAAACCCCGGUUGUGCAAGCUUAUACGAUCCCGCUGUUUAAAACCAAGAUACAUUGCUUUCCUUUACACGAACUGCAGGAAGACUUGCACCUUUUGUUAAAAACGUUAAUUGUCAGGCUUCACCGAUCCCGAUAUGCAAUCUGGAUAAACUCAACCCUGAAGUAUUGGAGGACAAACAAGAAGGGGCUGUUCACUGAAAUUUCAGAAAACAAAUAUCGUGUAUUAAAACUUUAAACAAAUUUGUGGUCGUUUGUGUUCAAUUUUUGAAAAUGAAAAACACGAUUGAAAGCUGCCUUCUUCUGUCAACCUUUUUAUUUUCAACCUGGCGAAUGAAUAUAUUGGGAUUUCAUUUCAAACAAAAAUAGUAGUUCCGAGUGUAGAAUGUGAAAAGGGUUAA